AUUGAACGCUGGCGGCGUGCCUAACACAUGCAAGUCGAUCGGUAACAGGUGUAGCAAUACAUGCUGACGAGAGGCGGACGGGUGAGUAACGCUUGGGAAUCUGCCUACUAGUGGGGGACAACCCGGGGAAACUCGGGCUAAUACCGCAUACGCUCUACGGAGGAAAGCCGGGGACCGCAAGGCCUGGCGCUAAUAGAUGAGCCCAAGUCGGAUUAGCUAGUUGGUAGGGUAAUGGCCUACCAAGGCGACGAUCCGUAGCUGGUCUGAGAGGACGACCAGCCACACUGGGACUGAGACACGGCCCAGACUCCUACGGGAGGCAGCAGUGGGGAAUAUUGGACAAUGGGGGAAACCCUGAUCCAGCGACGCCGCGUGGGUGAAGAAGGCCUGCGGGUUGUAAAGCCCUUUCGGUGGGGAAGAAAAGGCCUCGACCUAACACGUCGGGGUAUUGACGUAACCCACAAAGAAGCACCGGCUAACUCUGUG
This 486-nucleotide ribosomal RNA is filed under the name uncultured bacterium. RNAcentral describes it as "bacterial SSU rRNA". It matches the Rfam family "Bacterial small subunit ribosomal RNA", at positions 29 to 507 of the family's 1533-position model. The record is from RNAcentral.